GAUGAACGCUGGCGGCGUGCCUAAUACAUGCAAGUCGAGCGAACGGACGAGAAGCUUGCUUCUCUGAUGUUAGCGGCGGACGGGUGAGUAACACGUGGAUAACCUACCUAUAAGACUGGGAUAACUUCGGGAAACCGUAGCUAAUACCGGAUAAUAUUUUGAACCGCAUGGUUCAAAAGUGAAAGACGGUCUUGCUGUCACUUAUAGAUGGAUCCGCGCUGCAUUAGCUAGUUGGUAAGGUAACGGCUUACCAAGGCAACGAUGCAUAGCCGACCUGAGAGGGUGAUCGGCCACACUGGAACUGAGACACGGUCCAGACUCCUACGGGAGGCAGCAGUAGGGAAUCUUCCGCAAUGGGCGAAAGCCUGACGGAGCAACGCCGCGUGAGUGAUGAAGGUCUUCGGAUCGUAAAACUCUGUUAUUAGGGAAGAACAUAUGUGUAAGUAACUGUGCACAUCUUGACGGUACCUAAUCAGAAAGCCACGGCCAACUACGU
Molecule: ribosomal RNA, 496 nt
Filed under: uncultured bacterium
Lineage: Bacteria
Description: partial 16S ribosomal RNA
Rfam family: Bacterial small subunit ribosomal RNA
Source: RNAcentral